UGGGAAUUUUGGACAAUUGGGCGAAAGCCUGAUCCAGCAAUGCCGCGUGUGUGAAGAAGGCCUUCGGGUUGUAAAGCACUUUUGUCCGGAAAGAAAUCCUUGGCUCUAAUACAGUCGGGGGAUGACGGUACCGGAAGAAUAAGCACCGGCUAACUACGUGCCAGCAGCCGCGGUAAUACGUAGGGUGCAAGCGUUAAUCGGAAUUACUGGGCGUAAAGCGUGCGCAGGCGGUUUGCUAAGACCGAUGUGAAAUCCCCGGGCUCAACCUGGGAACUGCAUUGGUGACUGGCAGGCUAGAGUAUGGCAGAGGGGGGUUAGAAUUCCACGUGUAGCAGUGAAAUGCGUAGAGAUGUGGAGGAAUACCGAUGGCGAAGGCAGCCCCCUGGGCAAUACUGACGCUCAUGCACGAAAGCGUGGGGAGCAAACAGGAUUAGAUACCCUGGUAGUCCACGCCCUAAACGAUGUCAACUAGUUGUUGGGGAUUCAUUUCCUAGUAACGUAGCUAACGCGUGAAGUUGACCGCCUGGGGAGUACGGUCGCAAGAUUAAAACUUAAAUGAAUUGACGGGGUCAUAGCUGUUUCCU
RNAcentral lists this ribosomal RNA (584 nucleotides) under uncultured bacterium. RNAcentral's name for it is "partial 16S ribosomal RNA". It matches the Rfam family "Bacterial small subunit ribosomal RNA", at positions 356 to 1375 of the family's 1533-position model. The record is from RNAcentral.